This 519-nucleotide long non-coding RNA is filed under the name Coffea arabica (coffee). RNAcentral's name for it is "long non-coding RNA (CARA_LNC000326)". Lineage: Eukaryota; Viridiplantae; Streptophyta; Magnoliopsida; Gentianales; Rubiaceae. The record is from RNAcentral.
UCACUUUUCUUCCACAUACUCUGAAGCCCUUAUUUCUACCUUCCCCUGUAUUUCCCCUGUUUUCUCCUCCUCUUCUUGUUCUUCUUCUUCUUCGUCUUCUGCUCCUCCUUCUCCUUCUCCCUCUUCUGCUCCUCCUCCUCCUCCUCCUCUUGAAAGUUUUCCAUUUUUCACCUUAAAAUUCAAAGGAUAUUGCCAACUACAGCCUCCACAAUGAAGAAGAAUCCAAAGGUAAGGCUUCCCCCAAGGAGGGGGCAGAUCAAAGCCGAGAUAUUUAGGAAAUUCGUCAACGCAAUCGUCUCAAUUGCGGCCAUGGUUGGGUGUCAAGGAGGGAAGAAAGGUGGCUAUGGUCUCGCCAAGAACCCUAUAGUUCCGACUGAAACUACCGCCAUGUCUUGGAGUAAUUCUGCAGGAACAGACAAUGCAUAAGUUUUACAUUCCUCAAGAAAUUUUUUUUCGCGUUGUUGUUUUUAUUACUUACUAUUUAUCCUAAUUUUAGGAAAAGAAACCGAUGUAUUUAUC